AUUGAACGCUGGCGGCAGGCCUAACACAUGCAAGUCGAACGGUAACAGGAAGCAGCUUGCUGCUUUGCUGACGAGUGGCGGACGGGUGAGUAAUGUCUGGGAAACUGCCCGAUGGAGGGGGAUAACUACUGGAAAUGGUAGCUAAUACCGCAUAACGUCGCAAGACCAAAGAGGGGGACCUUAGGGCCUCUUGCCAUCGGAUGUGCCCAGAUGGGAUUAGCUAGUAGGUGGGGUAACGGCUCACCUAGGCGACGAUCCCUAGCUGGUCUGAGAGGAUGACCAGCCACACUGGAACUGAGACACGGUCCAGACUCCUACGGGAGGCAGCAGUGGGGAAUAUUGCACAAUGGGCGCAAGCCUGAUGCAGCCAUGCCGCGUGUAUGAAGAAGGCCUUCGGGUUGUAAAGUACUUUCAGCGGGGAGGAAGGGAGUAAAGUUAAUACCUUUGCUCAUUGACGUUACCCGCAGAAGAAGCACCGGCUAACUCCGUG
Molecule: ribosomal RNA, 490 nt
Filed under: uncultured bacterium
Lineage: Bacteria
Description: partial 16S ribosomal RNA
Rfam family: Bacterial small subunit ribosomal RNA
Source: RNAcentral